Molecule: long non-coding RNA, 9123 nt
Filed under: Capsicum annuum
Lineage: Eukaryota; Viridiplantae; Streptophyta; Magnoliopsida; Solanales; Solanaceae
Description: long non-coding RNA (CANN_LNC012560)
Source: RNAcentral
CUGGUUCAUAAUCAAUACCAAAUCCAAAUAAAAAUCUAAGGAAACGACAGGAUUUCCUAAUUUGAGCUCUCUUCCUCUUCUUUUCCAAAUGUCGUUGCUAAGAGCUAUCUUCAAUUUGUGGAUCCGUCCGCCUGUUCUCUGGGUCAUUAAUUUUUUCUGAGGUGAAACUGAUAUUUUUAGUUCGCAAAGGUUUGUGUUCAUUUUCUCUUUGAUUUCUCCAUUUGAGAAUUGUGCUCCUUACCUUCCUCAAAUGAUUAUAUAUAUAUAUGUUUUCCGGUGGAGAAAGUAGAACCCAUGGUGGAUUAGAUAGAGGUUCUUAGUGUCGUUAUUUGAGGAUGGAAUUUCUUAUAAGUGACUGGGCUUAUUUUUCUCCUCUUUCUGCUUCCUAAUCUUACUCCACGAUCUUAUUUGCAGCUAAAGUAGUAGAUGGGAUAAUUGCGAUGCCCCAGAUUUUCUUCUUUUGGUGCUCCUUUUCAGUGAUAGUGUAGAUCCUUCCCAUUUGACUCUGAAAGCCUCAAUUUUUGUUUCGACUCUUUUCAUAAGAUGACAUAAGCUUAAUCUAGGUAGCUUAGUAUUACUCACAGUUGUGAAGCCUUUGUGAUGGAAAAAACUUAUUCUAUACAUAUCAUGAUUGUGAGACCUUGAUGUGUGGUCCUUAGUUCUGUGCAUUCUGGAUUAUUUUAUUUUUCUGGAUCUGAUCCUCAAUGUUGACAUUUGUGCUUUAUCUAUGUUUAAGAUUUUGUUGCCUUCAACUGGUAGUUGCUGGAAAGUAUAUCCUUGUAAGAAAUUUCCAUACUCUAAUGUUGUGUUUGCCAAACUGCCAGGUAACCGAUUUGCUUCUAUAAAGAUAUGAUUGAUGAUUACUUGCAUAUCCAUUCUUAAUUAUUGCACUUCCUCAAACAUAUCUGUAAUUUGCCAGGGUAUCUUUCAUUCCCUCAUUAUCGUAUUUCUUAGACUAGUGAAUCAGUUUUCAAAAUAAUAUGAUGAAGGUUAAGAAGUUUGAACUGUCUUAAUGCCCAUGACAGUGGUCUCUACUUCCAUUUUAGUGAUGAUUCCUAGGGUGUUUGUCUUUACAUAGGUCAAAUUUUCAUGGUUGUCUCUAAUGCAAAAACGAUAGGAUCCAUUUCCAAGAUUUCCUCUACUAGCACCAUCAGUAUUGCACUUAACCUAUCCAGUGUUGAAGAAUGUCUUUUUUAAAGAAUUUUAGGCUUAUAGCUUUGAAAAACUCUCACCUUCUUACCAAAGCUUUGGCACUUCUAUCCAUGGAAAUUUGAUCUUGACAAGUUGGUAUAUAGUUAUCUGACUAUGAUGGAGAAGCUUAUGAUAACUAUACUCUUUAUUAUGCCUUCUUGAGUUUCUUUUUUUCCACAACUCCACACCAAGAUUGGUGGAACAGGCUUGAAUAUAAAUUUCAGCUUUGAUAGAGCUGAGGCGUUCCAUCACCUUGUAAUCAACUGUUGUAAAGAAGCAUCAACAAAUCCAAUUCCUGCACAUGAAGCAAAAUAUUUUUAUAGCUUUUGGGCUACGGGAGCUGUUAGAAAAAGGCGAGGCAUUGUUUUCUGCUCUUAGUUUUCACACUAAUAACAUAUGGAUGCUAAAUUGAUCCUCAUCCUUCUAAUAUUGACUUCAGUAUCAAUUCUUCUUUUCCCUAUCCGUUAAUGAAAGAAGUUAAUCUUAAGAGGCAAUUCUUAGAUCUAGAUAUUUAUUAACGGGUCCUGCUCGUCCCUCUUACUUCUCAUGAUUCUAUAUGCCGAUUUGAUUGAGAAAAGUCCACUAGUAUCAACCAUCCACCGAGGAUUAUCAUUGACAUCCCCACCAAAUUAAGACUUAUAUUCUUAAUGAUAUGCUUUUUCAUCUCCUUAAAAAUACUUUCUAGUAAUAUCUGUUUAUCCCACUCUCUAUUUUUUAUGAACCAAGUCAUCUCUAUCUCCCCUUCUUCUAUAAUAUUCUCCUCAAGAAAAUACAAAGCACCUUGUUUGGUCCAAUUGUCAAAAAAGAAAAUAGAAUUUCCAAACUUUAGUUGCCACCAAAUAUCAUGCUCAACCUCUUCUUUUACACUCAUCAUUUCCUCCAUACAUGAGAUGCACCAUCUCCUUAGUUAUCAUAGGGUGCGAUUUCUUGCAAUACUUGUGCAGUCCCUUCUAGUUAUUUUUUAUAUUUUCACUUAUCUUCACUGUUAGGGCUUCUCCAUAGCUGCUUCAAGUCAUUUAUGACUUAUUGGGAUUGGCCGUUCGAUUCUCGGACAGUUUAUUUAAUUUUUUGAAUCAAUUUCCUAUUUAGAAGUCUUUAUUGGUUUUAAACGGCUACCAGGCAAAAACUUUAGUAAGAAAAUCUUGGAUGCCAAUUUUGACUGCGACAACGGAUCUUGAAUAUCGAUUUUAGGCUAGGUAAAUCCUUGUUUUGGGUCCCAAUGCACCCGAGCUCAUUUCGACCAAUUGGUCAAAAAGUUGAAAAAUCAUAAAGUAUGGGUAUGGGUUCCACAAUUGUUCUACACGACCUUGGGUGGAAAAUUCAACUUCACCAAUGUGUCUGAAAUGUUGAAUUUAGUAGUGUUACAUAGUUUGUUUGAGAAAAUCGGAGUUCGAAUGAGUUCGAGGUGUUGGUGCUAGUGUAUGGCGAUCGCGAUGAGGCCUAUUGUGAUUGCAAAAUCGCGAAAGUGACCCCUAGAUGGAGAUUGCGACUUCUCUGUACUGGUAUGGGUAUAAAAGGGCACCUUAGUCUGUGUUUUGGUCAUUUUGACUCAUUUUUGGGACCUAGAAACCCUAAGAGGGUGUGAUAACUCAAAAUUGAGUCUUGUGGGUGCCUUGGGAGCUGGAUUAACAUAUAUUAUCGUGAUUAUCAUCCAAAUUAAGGUUAUUUCAUCACUUUAUUGAUGAAUUUCUUAGUUUUGACCCCAAACCCCAAAUUUUUUAGGGCUUGAUUUUAGCCCCAAAUUAGCUUUGUUUUCACCCAUUUCGUGUGGGUUAUGAUUCUUUGAUUAUAUAUGAGCAUUAGGUAGACCUUGAAAAUGCAUUUUUCAUAAGUGGGAUCCACUUAGAGGUUUUUGGUGUUGUUUUUGGACCUGAAGCACAAUAGUGCAAUAUGGACAUUAUUAUUCUUGUAUUGAUGAGUAGAUUAUGAUUUUGAUAGUGUGAUGGCAUGUUGGCAUUGUGAAGUGGAGAUGAACGUUGGUGUAUGAUGUAUGAUUUUGCAGUUUGGCUUUGAGGUAGGCUUCUACCUACUCUACUUUGAAGAGGAUGUGUGUUAUAUAUUCCAUAUGCAUGUGAAUGUUAGGAUUGAUUAUAAAUAGAAUGGCUUAGUUUUGGUUAUUGAGGUUUGGGGAUUAGAUGAGGGUUUUGGACCAGUAAGGUGAAAUGCUUAUUACCUUUUUGAAUCCUAUUGCCUUCUCCCUAGAUUGAACUAGUUUGUUGUAUGGAAAUGUUAUGAUGCUAGGUUUGGGAUGUGGUUCAAGUGUUGGAAUCAUGGUUAGUGUGAUUAACCUUAGUCUGACUUGUGUAGUGAUCUUGAAAUCGUAAUUUGGCUAAAGUUGGCUUAAAUGACUAUUUUUCUCGAUGAAGUUCUUAUCGUAGGAUUGGUUAUGACUUGCUUGACAUCUAGAAGUAUAAAUAGAUACCUUAGCCUAAUUUGGGGUAUAAGUUGCCUAAUUAUAGAAAUUGAAGAGUAAAAGUGGUAUCAUCCGACCCACUUUGACCAAGAUUUGUGUUAGCCCUUGUGGACUUAGUUGCUGAUGAUAGACAUAGUUGAGACUAUUAAGCCCUUAGAAUAAGCUUACUUCGUGGCUUUGAAAAUUUGUGAUUUAUUUUCUCCCGGAUGAUGAUUAAUGGCUUAUGGCUGUGGUAUUCCUUCCUCUUAGAUAUGAUAAUUGGCCUAUAAAGAUGAUAUUUCCUCUAAGACAUGAUAUUGGACCUCUAGAGACGUUAUUUCUUCUUAAAUGCGGUAUUAGGCCUUUAGAGAUGUAUUUCCUCAUAGAUAUGAUAAAUGACCUUUAGAGAUGUGAUUUCCUCUUAGAUAUGACAAUUGUCGUAUUAAGAUGAUAUUCCUCAUAGUCAUGAUAUGUGAUCCAUAUAUGUGAGAUGCCUUAUAGAUGCAAUGUGCCUUAUCGUUAUGAUUUAUGGCCUAGUGAUAUGUUAUAUCACCUAGAUGUGAGAUGCCUUAUAAUAUUCCUCCCAGAUGCGAGAAGUUUACAAAUAUGCUUUGUGGCCCAUAGAUAGUUUAUGCCUCGUAUUUAGGCUAUGACUUAUGAAUAUGAGAUGGCUUAUGAAUAUGAUUACUGCUAUGAGUUUCAGAUAUGUAUGUGGGCCUAAGGCCGUGAUAUUAAUGUUUUGAUUAUCCGAAUACAUUAUUGGGAAAAAGACAGUGUUAAGAUAUGAGUUGGAUAUCCGGGAAGUAUUUAUCCUGGUAAAGGAUACAAUUGUAGUUCAUGAAUAUAUAUAUGUGUGUGUGUGAGAGAGAGGGGGGGUAUGGAUGGAGGAAGAUGCGGUAUGUCAUUUACGACUUCAUUGAUAUGGAUACUGGUGAUGGCAUGUAUAGAUCCGGUACAUUCAUGGUCAUUAUAUCUGUAAAUGAUGUAAUUCUAGUUAAAAUACGAUCCUAUGACUUUUUUUCCUAAAUAAGAGUUAAAGACCCAUUAUUCAUCUUAAAAACAGAUCUCUUUCCAAUAAUAACUGUCUGAAUAAAUGGAUAAUUUAUAUAUAUAUAAGAGGUUAAUAAUGAUGUUCUUAAAAAUUGACCGAUACAAAUUUCGAUCCAUGAUUUGACACUAUUAAUUACUCCGAUCAUGAGAAAUUCUGAUCCCUUUCUACACUUUUAUAAUGAUUUAGUCCCGAAGUUCACUUCGGGCAAUUAACUUAUAAAUUUACACCCUUUUCACCCCAACUUAAGCCCGUGCACCUAUUAUAUAUAUAUAUAUAUAUAUAUACAUUGAUGAUUCUGAUGAUGUGCUUAUUGAUACCCGACAAGGCCGUAGGAUAUUGUGAUGAUGAGAUGGAUACCCGACAAGGUUGGGGGAUACUGUGAUGAUGUAUUGAUACUCGACAAGGCUGGAGGACAUUGUGAUGAUAUAUUGAUACCCAAUAAGGUCGGAGGAUAUUGUGAUGAUGUAUUGAUAUCCGACACGACUGGAGGAUGAUUAUGAUGAUGAUAUUAUGAUAUUGUGGAUUCUAUUGCAUUCAUACUUGCAUGCGCAUCAUCUAUCACCAAUAUGCUCCUAUGUUUAUCAGCCGGUACGGGACUGUUGCAUAAAUAUGGGUGAUGACUAUGACUUGUGUUGUUGUAUGCUGAUUGAGCCUUUCGAGCCUGGGGCGGUGGCAGUAUGCAUAGGCUCGGUUAGAUAUUUGGUUGUCCGAAAUAGUCGGUUACUCACGCUGUUAUUGGUGUUGUUAUUAUCAUUGUUAUGAUCGCUAUUAUGGCUAGUUUAUGACAGAUUGGUCAUUGAUUCAGUAUCGAGACUUGAGGUAUGUUUUUGGCCUCUUCUACCUUACGAUUGUAUUAUUAUGCAUGAUUAUUUCAUGUCUAGCCAUGUGGAUUAGAAACCCGGCGUAUGAUAACAUUAAAUACUGAUAGGAUUAUAAUGAGGUCUUAACAUGAAGACAUGAUGAUUUAGGUUAUGACUUGAGUUGACACUAUAUGUAUAUAUAUGUGUAGCUAUAUGUAGCUAUGGUGCUACCGUAUGUCCCCUCCUUCAUUCGCUCAUAUUGCUCAUAUUGUAUAUUCAUUCCUUGGCCUUGUAUAUUAUUAUAUCCUUCUUUUGCCCUUUAUUCAUAUAUUGACCUGGGAUAUACGGUAUAGUAUUGAGAUUCACGAGUAUAGAUGGAAUAGGACAAUUCAUCCUUGAUACUUUCUUAGCCUCAUUAUGUUAGACUCUUGGACAUGAAUAGGAUAGUAGUUCCUUAGUAUCUCAUUGGCUUGCUGAAUAAUUUCUGGACUCUUGAGUAUAGUUUCCAUUCUGUGUAUAUAUUGUAUAUAUCUGCUUUAUCUUUGGUGCUUAGUUGACAGUUGCCUACUGAGUACCAUUCAUUUGGUACUCAUACUAUACUUCUGCAGCCUGAUCAUAAUACAGGUUAUUGCCGUUGAUGUGUGCGUUGUGCGGAGCAGACCUAGAGUGAGCUCCUGACAUUUAGAGUAUUACUUAUAUCUCUCUUAUGCAUUAAACUAGUCUCUAUAUUGUAUUCAGAGAUAAGUUGUAUCAGUGUAAUUCUUUGAUAUUUCAUUUUUAUACUCUUAUUAUAUUAGAAUCUUUUGUACUGAUACCAUUAGGUUUUGGGAUUUAUUCAUUUAUUUUAACUUUUGUUAUAUUUAUUUUGCAUUCCUUGCUUAAUCUAUUUGGCAGUCCGUUACUAGUCGUUCUGAACUAUGGUUUGGCUUGCCUACAGGUGGGUUAUAGUAGGCGCCAUCAUGACCUAAGAAAUUGGGUUGUGAAAACUUGUUCCCCAUGAAGGAACUUUAUAGAUAUAAAGUUGAAAUCCUAAAAUUUCACCAUAGUUUGGAAAAUAGAGCCUUAGAUACAUCAUGUAGGGAUCUAAAUUUAGAGCCACCUUUAUCCUGUAGAAAACAUAAAUCUUCUCAGGCCACCCAAUGAUUUCCUUUUUUUCCACCUGUCAUGCUCCAGAAGAAUUUGGCAAAGGUAUAGUGAAGAAUUUGGCAAAGAAGAAUAUAUAUACAAACACAUAUAUACGUAUAUAUACAUAUAUACAUAUAUAUACAUAUAUAUAUAUAUAUAUCAAUUUCUUCCUUCCUACUACUAUUGUAUUUGUAUAUCUCUUUCUUCACUAUACCAUCAUUUAUAGACUAGCUACUUAUGGAAACGCAUUUCGUCCCUAAUUACUGGUAGUAUUUGAUAGUUUACCCUUUUUCAUUAGCAUUAUUAGAUUUCGUUGCCUAAAUAGUUUUUUGUUCUUUAGAUCUCAAUUAGUUGAUGCCUACUGAGUACCUCAUGUUUAGUACUUAUACUAGACUUUUGCAGCCUAAUCAAGGUAAAAAUUCUUACCAUUAAUGUGCGUGUCAUGCAGAAUAACCAUGGAUUGGAGAUUUGGAGUGAGAUCCUAACGUUUGGAGUUGUUCCUAAUCUCCCCCUUAUUGUUAGACAGAUCUCUAUUUUUAUAUUUUAGAGACAACUUUGAAUCUAUUUACUCUUUAUUCCACUUUGUACUCCUGUUGUAUUAGAAGUUUUAUACUAAUUUCAUCAGAUUUUUGGGGAUGUAUAUAUGCGCUAUACUGAUAACCAUAUAUGAAGGUACUACUCUGAGGGAGCUACCUAACUUCACCGGGGUCAUACAUAGUAAGGGAUCUAACAAUAGAAUAAUGAGGGUCUCUAGCCGAAAUGGGAAUAAUCAGAAUAUACUCUAACAAUAAUAAACUUAACAUAACAAGGUGACAAGGGAUCACAAAUGCACCGAUAACCUCGGGCACCAAUCCAUAACCAAUCUACCGUAAACCAUUCAAUAACAACCAACAAUAACGUAACCAGAUAGCUCAGACAAUCAAUAGCCCAACCAGGACCUCAUAAGCCCAGAGGCACAAACAAGCAAUCAACAGACAAUAAUCAUAACUUGUAUCUAUACAGCUCCCCAUAAGACUAAUAAAUACAAGUGCCAAACAAUAAUAUUUGUGACAGGCAAUGCAUAUUAAUGAAUGCAAGGAUAAAGCAGUACCAUCAACAAAUCAAGUGCCAUAAUGUACCAAGUGCAUACACCUUUCUAACUUAGUAGCUCACAAAGGCAGAAUCUAUGGCGACUAUCUUUCUCCAAUACUAUGGCUCAUUGAAUGAAAGGGGCCCAUAAGAGACUCAGAAUGUCUCUAUACACAGCAUGCUCCUAAACCAAGACUUCCAAAAUAACCAUCAUAACAAAUCUACUCCAUUUAGUAUUAGAGAAAAAUAAGAAUAUAAAGAAAUGUUCAAAAUUGAACUGAGACUAAAUCUGUAUAAAUCUAUAAGUCUGUUGUCCGAGAUCAAAUCUGGGAUUAAAAUGGUAUAAUAAUAUAGAAAGGGUAUGAAUCUCUCGCACCAAAGUGCAUAAGUAGUGGUAAAAAGGAGUGGAUCAAUAACGGACUUGAAUCAACUUCAGUCUAUGUUUUCAGGGUAUUUUGCUUAGUUUAAAUAUCAUAAUCCAAUAAUAAGGAUAGUAUAAUUUUCAAUUUAAAAGAAUUAAUUUUAGAAGUAAAAAAGUGAGAAUAAUUUUUUUUUUAGAAAACAAUAGUAAAACCAAGGUUCCAACUGAAUCGCACAACUAAAUAAGCAUAAAUGCGUCUAAAUGUAUGAACGUCAUCGCGAGUAUCCAAACAACAUAAUCGUAACCAUGGACUAGCGCGGUUUCUAAUGUUAGUCCUUUGGACUACACUUUCAUGGCUCAGCUACACAUCCCGCUUUAAAGCCCAAUUUAAAACCAUCAUUUCACAACACAACCAUUAAGCCAAUUACUUAACAAAGUCACUUCGUUGGUAUUGUCUUACCUUCACCACUUGUAAGCGUACAACAUGCCAUAACCUUUAUUAUUCAACUUUAGGACUCGAACACAUUGUCUAUACAAAUCCAUCAAUUCAAUUCAACAUUUAAGGACUCAAACUUAUUAUCUAGUAGGGACAUAAAUCAAUUUAAUGUUUAGGGACUCAAACCCUUUUUAGCCAAUUGAACCACCAAGGUUACCAUGACCAAAAAGCCUUUCACAAAUCCAUUUACCAACAAUUCAUAUUCAUUAGGCCAAUGCCUUAGUUAAAAAACACCAUUAAACAUGUGACUAGUUUGUUCUCUUAGACAUUUUUACAAACACUUUGAGGGCAUACCAUUAACAAGACCAAGACCAAAGUAAAAACCAUUUAGUUUAGGAUGAACCAUUACCCAAUUGUUAAACCACAAUUACCAAGCACCCACAUGUGCAAACCAAUAUCAAAAACAUGUAUAAACACAAUUCAAACCAGGAGUAAAUAAUACUCAACAAUAUGCAACAUGUCCCUCAACAUAGGUUUUCAAAACUACCAUUAAUAAACCAUAAUCAAUGUAAACACAUGAUAUUUGAGAACUAACAAUAAAGAAAGAGUCACAUGACUUAUUCAUGAAGAUUGAUGGAAAGAACUUGACUCUUGAUCCUCUAGAUAACACCUUAUAGAAACCCUAGCCUAAUCUUUAAG